GUUCCACGGGGUGUAUAUUGGUUCUCAGCGUGUUAUACCAUUCACACUGACAAACCAAUCAUCAGCUCCAGCCCAGGUCACCUUUGACCUGUCUGAGCAUGAAAACUUCACUCUCCGGCUCCCUCAUCCGGCUACAGGUAUGAACACAAACGAUGGUACAGAACAGGCAGAAUCGCAGCAGGUGUUUUGAUAGUUUCUCAUUCACAUUUUUCUCAGCAGAGAGGAGAGCAGCACUCAGUGUUGUGGAGAUCAGAGAAUACCAGACAAUGGAGUUAUCUCUUGUCUUCUCGCCCACUGAGAUUACCAGCUUUAACUUUGAUCUACCCCUCAUUGUUAAUGGAGUAAAAUACCUCUCUACCACUCAGUCCCUGUUACCUGCUUCUUCCUCAUCGUCUACCUCUUCCUCGCCAGCAGCGGGCAGCAGGAAACACACGGCCAAGUCUGUUUCUUACUCUGUUACCACCGUUGCACAUAAAACGCCCUCUGUGCAGGCUACAGGUGUGUGUGUGUGUGUGGGCGUGUGUAUGGGUGCGUGUGUGUGUGUGCGUGUGUGUGCGUGUGCGUGUGUGCGUGUGUGUGUGUGUAUUGAGAUCUAAGCAGGUAAAUGUAACGCCCGUCUCUUCCUUGUUGGGUUUGAAUUGGAUGAAGUUCUGUGUGCUCCACUGGAAAUGUCUCCCUCCCAUCUGCAGUUCAGUGUAGACCCACAGUAUGACACCUACACAAAGGUAAUGAGAAAUAUAUGAAUUGUCAUUGGAUUUAGUUUUUCUUCCGAGUUUUAAAUUGAUGAAUUUUUUCCAACUACUGCAGAAUGUCGACCUCAAAGCCGCGCACGAAGAGAGCGUGUGCUGGAAACUCAUUACUGGUGAUCACAUCAGCUGGUGGUUUGACAUCCACACACAAGCCUCACCAACACAGGAUGGAAGAAAGCAGAUGACGUGGACAGCCUCUCCAUCCUCAGGCAUUCUACGUCCAGGCCAGUCCAUUACUGUAUCGGUCACUGUCAAAACAGCCUCUGAAGAUGCGACCCAGCUGAUAAUCCCUCUGUAUGUGGGAGAGGAGAUUGGAGAGAAACAGGACCAUCUUUACAGAGAGCUGUCCAUCAACAUGGCUCUACAACAUCCGAGCAUCACCAUCCAUCCUCCUCAUAUCCUCCUCACCCCAGUACCGCUGAAUACCAGCAUCAAGGCCUCCCUGGUUUUGAUGGCUGCUGGAUAUUCAAGGUUGGAUUUUGUGUACUUACAGCUGCAGAUAUGUUAUGAAUUAUGUAAUUUUUUUAUACAUUUGCAGAGGAACAAGUGUCUCAGCUGAAGUGGACGAAGUGGAAAUGACAGACGGCACCAAAAUAAAUCCAGUUUUCGUUGUCUUUCCUCA
RNAcentral lists this long non-coding RNA (1371 nucleotides) under Gouania willdenowi (blunt-snouted clingfish). RNAcentral describes it as "lncRNA (ENSGWIG00000011148.1)". Lineage: Eukaryota; Metazoa; Chordata; Actinopteri; Blenniiformes; Gobiesocidae. The record is from RNAcentral.